AGUGGCGGACGGGUGAGUAAUGUCUGGGGAUCUGCCCGAUAGAGGGGGAUAACCCCUGGAAACGGUGGCUAAUACCGCAUAACGUCGCAAGACCAAAGAGGGGGACCUUCGGGCCUCUCACUAUCGGAUGAACCCAGAUGGGAUUAGCUAGUAGGCGGGGUAAUGGCCCACCUAGGCGACAAUCCCUAGCUGGUCUGAGAGGAUGACCAGCCACACUGGAACUGAGACACGGUCCACACUCCUACGGGAGGCAGCAGUGGGGAAUAUUGCACAAUGGGCGCAAGCCUGAUGCACCCUGCCGCGUGUAUGAAGAAGGCCUUCGGGUUGUAAAGUACUUUCAGCGGGGAGGAAGGCGAUGGGGUUAAUAACCCUAUCGAUUGACGUUACCCGCAGAAGAAACACCGGCUAACUCCGUGCCAGCAGCCGCGGUAAUACGGAGGGUGCAAGCGUUAAUCGGAAUUACUGGGCGUAAAGCGCACGCAGGCGGUCUGUUAAGUCAGAUAUGAAAUCCCCGGGCUUAACCUGGGAACUGCAUUUGAAACUGGCAGGCUUGAGUCUUGUAAGGGGGGUAGAAUUCCAGGUGUACGGUGAAAUGCGUAGAGAUCUGGAGGAAUACCGGUGGCGAAGCGGCCCCUGGACAAAGACUGACGCUCAGGUGCGAAACGUGGGAGAAACAGGAUUAGAUACCUGGUAGUCCACGCCGUAAA
Molecule: ribosomal RNA, 707 nt
Filed under: bacterium LL4YTEN-109
Lineage: Bacteria
Description: bacterial SSU rRNA
Rfam family: Bacterial small subunit ribosomal RNA
Source: RNAcentral